AAAUUAUUUACCUUGGCGCAGAGCUUCCCCAGGCUCCAUGCUUGUCUGUAAGAAUGUUGACAAUUUUCUGUAUUAGCUGAGUUGCAGUCACUUGGUCUCGGUACUUAGCUGCCGUUAUCAAAUGAUGGCACAUUUUUUCUUCUUCCCGUUUGUCAGCAGAGUACUGGGCACAUAGUGACUCAAAUUCAGCAUGUCGGUUAAUAUCUUCUGCCCGUUGUCUGCUCAAGAUAAAUUCUGCUUCAUUAGCCACUCUGACCAAAUGGUCCUUCAUAUUCUGACUCAACAACCUUCCUUCAUUGACAAGCUCUAUAAAGGCAAGGCCAGCAUUC
RNAcentral lists this long non-coding RNA (329 nucleotides) under Gallus gallus (chicken). The record is from RNAcentral. Lineage: Eukaryota; Metazoa; Chordata; Aves; Galliformes; Phasianidae.